This 1022-nucleotide ribosomal RNA is filed under the name Burkholderia vietnamiensis. Its description in RNAcentral is "bacterial SSU rRNA". It matches the Rfam family "Bacterial small subunit ribosomal RNA", at positions 22 to 1041 of the family's 1533-position model. The record is from RNAcentral. Lineage: Bacteria; Pseudomonadati; Pseudomonadota; Betaproteobacteria; Burkholderiales; Burkholderiaceae.
GCUCAGAUUGAACGCGGCGGCAUGCUUACACUGCAAGUCGAAAGGCAGCACGGGUGCUUGCACUGGUGGCGAGUGGCGAACGGGUGAGUAAUACAUCGGAACAUGUCCUGUAGUGGGGGAUAGCCCGGCGAAAGCCGGAUUAAUACCGCAUACGAUCUAUGGAUGAAAGCGGGGGACCUUCGGGCCUCGCGCUAUAGGGUUGGCCGAUGGCUGAUAGCUAGUUGGUGGGGUAAAGGCCUACCAAGGCGACGAUCAGUAGCUGGUCUGAGAGGACGACCAGCCACACUGGGACUGAGACACGGCCCAGACUCCUACGGGAGGCAGCAGUGGGGAAUUUUGGACAAUGGGCGAAAGCCUGAUCCAGCAAUGCCGCGUGUGUGAAGAAGGCCUUCGGGUUGUAAAGCACUUUUGUCCGGAAAGAAAUCCUUGGCUCUAAUACAGUCGGGGGAUGACGGUACCGGAAGAAUAAGCACCGGCUAACUACGUGCCAGCAGCCGCGGUAAUACGUAGGGUGCAAGCGUUAAUCGGAAUUACUGGGCGUAAAGCGUGCGCAGGCGGUUUGCUAAGACCGAUGUGAAAUCCCCGGGCUCAACCUGGGAACUGCAUUGGUGACUGGCAGGCUAGAGUAUGGCAGAGGGGGGUAGAAUUCCACGUGUAGCAGUGAAAUGCGUAGAGAUGUGGAGGAAUACCGAUGGCGAAGGCAGCCCCCUGGGCCAAUACUGACGCUCAUGCACGAAAGCGUGGGGAGCAAACAGGAUUAGAUACCCUGGUAGUCCACGCCCUAAACGAUGUCAACUAGUUGUUGGGGAUUCAUUUCCUUAGUAACGUAGCUAACGCGUGAAGUUGACCGCCUGGGGAGUACGGUCGCAAGAUUAAAACUCAAAGGAAUUGACGGGGACCCGCACAAGCGGUGGAUGAUGUGGAUUAAUUCGAUGCAACGCGAAAAACCUUACCUACCCUUGACAUGGUCGGAAUCCUGAAGAGAUUCGGGAGUGCUCGAAAGAGAACCGGCGCACAGGUGC